CUCAAAGUUGGAACCUGCUUGGUGUAGCUAAGCCGGAUUGUAAACUAGAGAAGUGUUUUCCUGGCUGGCCGAGUAAAAAAGUCCUUUGGAACAGGGCAUCAUAGAGGGUGAGAAUCCCGUCUUUGGCUCGAGCAUUAGUCUUUUGUGAUACAUUUUCAAUGAGUCAGGUUGUUUGGGAAUGCAGCCUAAAUUGGGAGGUAAAUCUCUCCUAAAGCUAAAUAUUUGCGAGAAACCGAUAGCGAACAAGUACCGUGAGGGAAAGAUGAAAAGAACUUUGAAAAGAGAGUUAAACAGUAUGUGAAAUUGUUAAAAGGGAACCGUUUGGAGCCAGUCUGGCUUUCCUAUAAUCAAUCUAGGCUUCGGCCUUGAUGCACUUGUAGGUUAUCGCCGGCCAACGACAAUUGGGAUCGCGAGGGAAAAAACCUUUGGAAAUGUAGCCAUUCUGCAAAGUUUGGUGUUAUAGUCCUUGGGAAAAUACCUUGUGCUCGAUUGAGGAUCGCAGUGAAUGCCUUUCGGGGCAGGAUGUGGUGAGGUAGGUUUGCUUGACCUAAGGUGACUUUCGGGUUGCUUUAGCGAGGCUUACUCCUUGCUUCUAUCUUUAUU
This 603-nucleotide ribosomal RNA is filed under the name Rhizopus stolonifer var. lyococcos. RNAcentral's name for it is "eukaryotic LSU rRNA". It matches the Rfam family "Eukaryotic large subunit ribosomal RNA", at positions 108 to 621 of the family's 3401-position model. The record is from RNAcentral. Lineage: Eukaryota; Fungi; Mucoromycota; Mucoromycetes; Mucorales; Rhizopodaceae.